CAAAAUCGAAACUGCCAUCAAACCGUCUAAGGUCGGUUACUGACUGUUUGGAUUUCGGUUGGAGUCGGUUGAUUGUUGUCUGUUUCGGGUGACGCUGUCAUGAGAGAGAGACAAUGGUGGCUAGCUUCCAUUGGAAAGAGAAGACUAUAUAGCAGUGGCUGCUUGUCGAGGAGAUCUGCAGAUGAGCUGGGAGGCGAUGAUCCAAAGAGAGACAAAGAAGACGAAGAGAGAAAGAGAAGAGAAAAAAAGCGACUAAACAAAUGACCAGACUAAUAGCGAUUUGGUUUGAUUUAUUCUCGAAAUUGAAAAUUGAACAAAAACAUGAACCGGUUAGGUUGUCGAUUUGAUGGUUUAAAUUUCCAACCUUACACAUCGGUGCCAAGACUCUUACCAUGCUCCUUUAU
Molecule: long non-coding RNA, 404 nt
Filed under: Prunus persica (peach)
Lineage: Eukaryota; Viridiplantae; Streptophyta; Magnoliopsida; Rosales; Rosaceae
Description: long non-coding RNA (PPER_LNC004601)
Source: RNAcentral